This is a small nucleolar RNA of Homarus americanus (American lobster), 69 nucleotides long. Lineage: Eukaryota; Metazoa; Arthropoda; Malacostraca; Decapoda; Nephropidae. The record is from RefSeq and is a predicted model, not a curated record.
UUUAUAUGAUGAAAACUAUAACCAGUUCUGCUUCUGAUUAUUAGGAAGACAAUCUUGGUUCUGAGGAAA